RNAcentral lists this small RNA (572 nucleotides) under Pongo abelii (Sumatran orangutan). RNAcentral describes it as "processed transcript". Lineage: Eukaryota; Metazoa; Chordata; Mammalia; Primates; Hominidae. The record is from RNAcentral.
ACGCGGGGAGGUGACCGUUGGGCCCAAACAGGCGGCGUCACCAGCCAAUCAAUAUGCUUCCAGACGUUUCAGCGACCAAUUAGGAAGAACGCCUCCGAUCCAGCCAGCGUCCCAUGCUCGGUGGCCCCAGAAAAGUCAGUGUGUAGGCCUCAGCCACUUCAGGUCCGGCGUACAUUCUCCCUGGACACCAUCCUCAGCUCCUACCUUCUGGGCCAGUGGCCACGAGAUGCUGAUGGGGCCUUCACCUGCUGCACCAAUGACAAGGCCACCCAGGCUGGAAUGCAGUGGUGCGGUCCUGGCUCACUGCAACCUCUGCCUCCCGGGUUCAGGUGAUUCUCGUGCCUCAUCCUCCCAAGUGGCUGGGAUUACAGACACCCCUGUCCUGGCAAGAGCUAGAAGGUGAGCGUGCCAGCUUCUGUGCACACAAGCGCUCAGCAUCCUGGGGCAGCACAGACCACCGAAAAGAGAUUUCCAAGUUGAAGCAACAACUGCAGAGGACGAAGCUGAGCCGCAGUGGGAAAGAGAAGGAGCGAGGUUCCCCACUCCCAGGGGACCAUGCAGUGCGGGGAGCA